GAUGAACGCUGGCGGCGUGCCUAAUACAUGCAAGUCGAGCGAACAGACGAGGAGCUUGCUCCUCUGACGUUAGCGGCGGACGGGUGAGUAACACGUGGAUAACCUACCUAUAAGACUGGGAUAACUUCGGGAAACCGGAGCUAAUACCGGAUAAUAUAUUGAACCGCAUGGUUCAAUAGUGAAAGACGGUUUUGCUGUCAAUUAUAGAUGGAUCCGCGCCGCAUUAGCUAGUUGGUAAGGUAACGGCUUACCAAGGCGACGAUGCGUAGCCGACCUGAGAGGGUGAUCGGCCACACUGGAACUGAGACACGGUCCAGACUCCUACGGGAGGCAGCAGUAGGGAAUCUUCCGCAAUGGGCGAAAGCCUGACGGAGCAACGCCGCGUGAGUGAUGAAGGUCUUCGGAUCGUAAAACUCUGUUAUUAGGGAAGAACAAAUGUGUAAGUAACUAUGCACGUCUUGACGGUACCUAAUCAGAAAGCCACGGCUAACUACGUG
RNAcentral lists this ribosomal RNA (497 nucleotides) under uncultured bacterium. RNAcentral describes it as "partial 16S ribosomal RNA". It matches the Rfam family "Bacterial small subunit ribosomal RNA", at positions 28 to 507 of the family's 1533-position model. The record is from RNAcentral.